This 5566-nucleotide small RNA is filed under the name Pan troglodytes (chimpanzee). Its description in RNAcentral is "retained intron". The record is from RNAcentral. Lineage: Eukaryota; Metazoa; Chordata; Mammalia; Primates; Hominidae.
CACGGGAGUUGUCGCUGUCUAGGAGCAUCUGAAAGACAGGUGUGCGUCAUGCACUUGAAGCACCUGAGGACCCUGCUGAGCCCUCAGCCCAAACUCCUUUGCCUGGCUUCAAAGACUUCCUGAGCUGGCCUGUUUUUCCUGCCUUACCCCGUCUAUUCUACUAUUUAUAAGGAUGGAGCUGCAAAGGUGACCUGCAUGGCUUGGUCCCAGAACAAUGCCAAAUUUGCUGUCUGCACAGUGGACCGAGUGGUCUUGCUGUAUGAUGAACAUGGAGAACGGAGAGAUAAAUUCUCCACCAAACCAGCUGACAUGAAGUAUGGCAGGAAGAGCUAUAUGGUGAAGGGCAUGGCUUUUUCUCCUGAUUCCACUAAAAUUGCCAUAGGACAGACUGACAACAUCAUCUAUGUCUACAAGAUUGGAGAAGAUUGGGGUGACAAGAAAGUCAUCUGCAACAAGUUCAUCCAGACGAGUGCUGUCACUUGUCUGCAAUGGCCGGCAGAAUACAUCAUUGUCUUUGGACUGGCUGAAGGGAAGGUUCGUUUAGCAAACACCAAAACUAAUAAAUCAUCUACCAUCUAUGGGACAGAGUCUUACGUGGUGUCCCUGACAACAAAUUGCUCUGGGAAAGGAAUUCUCUCUGGUCAUGCAGAUGGUACCAUCGUUAGGUAUUUCUUUGAUGAUGAAGGCUCUGGAGAGUCACAGGGGAAGUUGGUUAACCACCCGUGUCCACCCUAUGCCUUGGCAUGGGCAACCAAUAGCAUCGUGGCUGCAGGCUGUGAUCGGAAAAUUGUAGCCUAUGGAAAAGAAGGCCACGUGCUACAAACUUUUGAUUAUAGCCGUGACCCUCAGGAGCGGGAGUUCACCACAGCUGUAUCAAGUCCUGGGGGCCAGUCUGUUGUGCUAGGAAGUUAUGACAGGCUUCGGGUGUUCAACUGGAUCCCUCAAAGAAGCAUCUGGGAAGAGGCAAAGCCCAAGGAGAUUACCAAUUUAUACACCAUCACUGCCUUGGCCUGGAAGCGGGAUGGCUCACGGCUCUGUGUGGGCACACUAUGUGGUGGGGUGGAACAGUUUGACUGCUGCCUCCGAAGGAGUAUUUACAAGAACAAGUUUGAGUUGACGUAUGUGGGACCUAGCCAGGUGAUUGUGAAGAACCUGUCAUCAGGAACCCGAGUGGUGCUCAAGUCACACUAUGGCUAUGAGGUGGAAGAGGUGAAAAUCCUAGGAAAGGAACGUUACUUGGUGGCUCACACAUCAGAAACACUGCUGCUGGGGGACCUGAACACUAAUCGGCUUAGUGAGAUAGCCUGGCAAGGAUCUGGUGGCAAUGAGAAGUAUUUCUUUGAAAAUGAGAAUGUAUGCAUGAUCUUCAAUGCCGGAGAGCUAACCCUGGUGGAAUAUGGGAAUAAUGACACCCUGGGUUCUGUACGCACUGAAUUCAUGAACCCCCACCUCAUCAGUGUUCGUAUUAAUGAGAGGUGUCAGCGAGGAACAGAAGAUAAUAAGAAAUUGGCUUAUCUUAUUGAUAUUAAGACUAUUGCUAUAGUGGAUCUGAUUGGUGGCUACAACAUUGGCACCGUCAGUCAUGAGAGCCGUGUGGAUUGGCUGGAACUUAAUGAGACUGGACACAAGCUCCUCUUCAGAGACCGGAAACUUCGUUUGCAUCUGUAUGAUAUUGAAAGCUGCUCUAAGACAAUGAUCCUCAACUUCUGCUCCUAUGUGCAGUGGGUCCCAGGAAGUGAUGUGCUGGUAGCUCAGAACCGAAACAGUCUGUGUGUAUGGUACAACAUUGAGGCACCUGAGAGAGUCACCAUGUUCACUAUUAGGGGUGAUGUUAUAGGUCUGGAGCGGGGCGGGGGAAAGACCGAGGUGAUGGUGAUGGAAGGUGUGACUACUGUUGCCUACACAUUGGAUGAGGGCCUCAUCGAGUUUGGAACAGCCAUUGAUGAUGGCAACUACAUCCGGGCAACAGCCUUCUUAGAGACUCUGGAAAUGACCCCAGAAACAGAGGCAAUGUGGAAAACCUUGAGUAAACUGGCACUAGAGGCAAGGCAACUACACAUUGCGGAGAGGUGCUUUUCUGCUUUGGGCCAAGUAGCAAAAGCUCGAUUCCUGCAUGAGACCAAUGAGAUUGCAGAUCAAGUAUCCCGGGAAUAUGGCGGAGAAGGAACAGACUUUUAUCAGGUCCGAGCACGUCUAGCCAUGCUGGAAAAGAACUACAAACUGGCUGAAAUGAUCUUUUUGGAACAGAAUGCUGUGGAGGAGGCCAUGGGCAUGUACCAGGAGCUACACCGUUGGGAUGAGUGUAUCGCUGUGGCUGAAGCCAAGGGGCACCCAGCCCUGGAGAAGCUACGUCGUAGUUACUACCAGUGGCUGAUGGACACACAGCAAGAGGAGCGAGCAGGUGAACUACAGGAGAGCCAAGGGGAUGGGCUAGCAGCCAUCAGCCUCUACCUCAAAGCUGGGCUCCCUGCCAAAGCUGCUCGGCUGGUGCUGACCCGAGAGGAACUGCUAGCCAACACAGAGCUGGUAGAACACAUCACUGCAGCCCUUAUCAAGGGGGAACUCUACGAAAGGGCAGGUGAUCUCUUUGAGAAGAUUCACAAUCCACAGAAGGCCCUGGAGUGCUACCGUAAAGGCAACGCAUUCAUGAAAGCGGUAGAGCUGGCUCGAUUGGCCUUCCCAGUGGAGGUGGUGAAACUAGAGGAGGCAUGGGGGGACCACCUGGUGCAGCAGAAGCAGCUUGAUGCAGCCAUUAAUCACUACAUUGAAGCCAGGUGCUCCAUUAAGGCAAUUGAGGCUGCCCUGGGUGCCCGCCAGUGGAAGAAGGCAAUUUAUAUAUUAGAUCUACAGGACCGGAACACUGCAUCCAAAUACUAUCCUCUCGUGGCCCAACACUAUGCAUCCCUGCAGGAGUAUGAGAUUGCUGAGGAGCUCUAUACUAAGGGAGAUCGGACAAAAGAUGCCAUAGACAUGUACACCCAGGCUGGUCGUUGGGAACAAGCCCACAAGCUGGCGAUGAAAUGCAUGAGACCAGAAGAUGUGUCAGUGCUGUACAUCACUCAGGCCCAGGAAAUGGAGAAGCAGGGCAAGUACCGUGAGGCUGAAAGGUGAGCCGUGGCCCCAGAGGAGGUGUAGAGGGAGAUGAGAUUUCAAGGCUGGGAGGAGGAAUGGGGCCUGAGGAUGUGUACCCUCUGCCCAGAAGGCAGUGAUAGCAGGGAUCGGGUCUAGGAGGCCCCAGAUAUAUCUCCCUUCCCCAGGCUAUAUGUGACAGUACAAGAGCCUGAUCUUGCCAUCACCAUGUACAAAAAGCACAAGUUGUAUGAUGACAUGAUCCGCCUGGUAGGGAAGCACCAUCCAGAUCUCCUCAGUGAUACACACCUACAUCUGGGCAAGGAGCUGGAGGCUGAAGGCCGACUACAGGAGGCUGAGUACCACUACCUCGAGGCCCAGGAAUGGAAGGCAACAGUGAACAUGUACCGGGCCAGUGGGCUUUGGGAAGAGGCCUACAGGGUAGCCAGAACUCAAGGAGGGGCUAAUGCCCACAAACACGUGGCCUAUCUGUGGGCAAAGAGCCUGGGAGGAGAGGCUGCAGUUAGACUGCUUAAUAAGCUGGGACUCCUGGAAGCUGCUGUUGACCACGCUGCAGACAAUUGCUCCUUUGAAUUUGCGUUUGAACUCUCUCGGCUGGCCCUCAAGCACAAAACCCCCGAGGUUCAUCUCAAAUAUGCUAUGUUCCUGGAGGAUGAGGGUAAAUUCGAAGAGGCUGAAGCUGAAUUCAUCAGAGCUGGUAAACCCAAGGAGGCAGUCCUCAUGUUUGUCCAUAACCAGGAUUGGGAGGCAGCUCAGCGUGUGGCUGAGGCUCACGACCCUGACAGUGUCGCCGAGGUGCUUGUGGGACAGGCCCGGGGGGCCUUGGAGGAGAAGGACUUUCAGAAAGCAGAAGGGCUGCUGCUCCGGGCCCAGAGACCAGGCCUGGCCCUCAAUUAUUAUAAGGAGGCUGGAUUAUGGAGUGACGCUCUGCGCAUCUGCAAGGACUAUGUGCCCAGCCAGCUGGAGGCUCUGCAGGAAGAAUAUGAGCGGGAAGCUACUAAGAAGGGGGCCAGGGGUGUGGAGGGAUUUGUGGAACAAGCUCGACACUGGGAGCAGGCUGGAGAGUACAGCCGUGCCGUGGACUGCUACCUCAAAGUGCGAGACUCUGGAAACAGCGGCCUGGCGGAGAAGUGCUGGAUGAAGGCAGCUGAACUCUCCAUCAAGUUUCUGCCUCCCCAACGUAAUAUGGAAGUCGUUCUGGCUGUAGGACCCCAGCUGAUUGGAAUUGGAAAGCACAGUGCAGCUGCAGAGCUCUAUCUGAAUCUGGACCUUGUCAAGGAAGCAAUCGAUGCUUUCAUCGAGGGUGAGGAGUGGAACAAGGCGAAGCGUGUAGCUAAGGAGUUAGAUCCCAGGUAUGAAGACUAUGUGGACCAGCAUUAUAAAGAGUUCCUCAAGAAUCAGGGCAAAGUGGACUCGCUGGUGGGUGUGGAUGUGAUAGCUGCUUUGGACCUGUAUGUGGAGCAGGGCCAGUGGGACAAGUGCAUUGAAACAGCUACCAAGCAGAACUACAAGAUUCUGCACAAGUACGUGGCUUUGUAUGCAACUCACUUGAUCCGGGAGGGUAGCUCUGCCCAGGCAUUGGCCCUGUAUGUACAGCACGGAGCCCCUGCUAACCCACAGAACUUCAAUAUCUACAAAAGGAUCUUCACUGACAUGGUGAGCUCUCCUGGAACCAACUGUGCCGAGGCCUAUCAUAGCUGGGCUGAUCUUCGAGAUGUCCUCUUCAACCUGUGUGAAAACCUGGUGAAGUCCAGUGAGGCAAACUCUCCAGUCCAUGAGGAGUUCAAGACGAUGCUGCUGAUCGCUCAUUACUAUGCCACGCGCUCUGCAGCCCAGAGUGUCAAACAGCUGGAAACCGUGGCUGCCAGGCUUUCUGUUUCACUCUUGCGUCACACCCAGCUACUACCUGUAGACAAAGCCUUCUAUGAAGCAGGCAUUGCUGCCAAGGCAGUUGGCUGGGAUAACAUGGCAUUCAUCUUCCUCAAUCGCUUUUUGGACCUGACCGAUGCAAUCGAGGAAGGGACUCUAGAUGGCCUUGACCACUCUGAUUUUCAGGAUACAGACAUUCCCUUUGAGGUGCCACUCCCAGCUAAGCAGCAUGUACCGGAGGCUGAGAGAGAAGAGGUUCGAGACUGGGUGCUUACAGUCUCCAUGGACCAGCGGCUGGAGCAGGUUCUGCCUCGGGAUGAGCGUGGCGCCUACGAGGCCUCCCUAGUGGCAGCGAGCACUGGGGUUCGAGCCCUGCCCUGCCUUAUUACAGGAUACCCCAUUCUGAGGAACAAAAUUGAAUUUAAGCGGCCAGGGAAGGCUGCUAACAAGGACAACUGGAAUAAAUUCCUUAUGGCCAUCAAGACCUCCCACAGCCCAGUGUGCCAGGACGUGCUGAAAUUCAUCAGUCAGUGGUGUGGAGGGCUCCCCAGCACCAGCUUUUCCUUUCAGUAGUCAGUAGAGCUGAGGAAGAGUUAGGGCCUCUCCC